This 468-nucleotide ribosomal RNA is filed under the name uncultured Bifidobacterium sp. Its description in RNAcentral is "bacterial SSU rRNA". It matches the Rfam family "Bacterial small subunit ribosomal RNA", at positions 202 to 684 of the family's 1533-position model. The record is from RNAcentral. Lineage: Bacteria; Bacillati; Actinomycetota; Actinomycetes; Bifidobacteriales; Bifidobacteriaceae.
AAGAUUUCAUCGGUAUGGGAUGGGGUCGCGUCCUAUCAGGUAGUCGGCGGGGUAACGGCCCACCGAGCCUACGACGGGUAGCCGGCCUGAGAGGGCGACCGGCCACAUUGGGACUGAGAUACGGCCCAGACUCCUACGGGAGGCAGCAGUGGGGAAUAUUGCACAAUGGGCGCAAGCCUGAUGCAGCGACGCCGCGUGCGGGAUGACGGCCUUCGGGUUGUAAACCGCUUUUGAUCGGGAGCAAGCCUUCGGGUGAGUGUACCUUUCGAAUAAGCACCGGCUAACUACGUGCCAGCAGCCGCGGUAAUACGUAGGGCGCAAGCGUUAUCCGGAUUUAUUGGGCGUAAAGGGCUCGUAGGCGGCUCGUCGCGUCCGGUGUGAAAGUCCAUCGCUUAACGGUGGAUCUGCGCCGGGUACGGGCGGGCUGGAGUGCGGUAGGGGAUACUGGAAUUCCCGGUGUAACGGUGG